GCUGGGCGUGGUGGCACCUGCCUGUAAUCCCAGCUACUCGGGAAGCUGAGGUGGGGGAAUCGCUUGAACCCAGGAAAUGGAGGUUGCAGUGAGCCGAGAUCACACCACUGCACUCCAGCCUGGGUGACAGAGCGAGACUCCAUCUCAA
This is an unclassified non-coding RNA of Macaca fascicularis (crab-eating macaque), 148 nucleotides long. It matches the Rfam family "Metazoan signal recognition particle RNA". Rfam says of the family: The signal recognition particle (SRP) is a universally conserved ribonucleoprotein. It is involved in the co-translational targeting of proteins to membranes. The record is from Ensembl. NCBI's taxonomy places the organism in Eukaryota, Metazoa, Chordata, Mammalia, Primates, Cercopithecidae.